CAAAGCACAUGGGUGGUUCACGACCUUUUGCUGUUCAUGGUAUCAAGUUGGCAGAGAAACUAGGUAGGGAGGUUGGAUAUUCAGAAAUUUUUCAGGCUACACACAAGCGCAAGUGUGGAGAGGGUGAUUUUAUAGACAACAAGUCAAGAGUUGUUAAUGAAAAGUAUAAUGCUGCAUUGAUCGACAAAUAUGGUGAUGAUAUCUCUUCCCAUCCAAGUUUUGAUGGUUAGUCAUGGUAUGAUGCAAUUGGGGGAUUAAAGGCUACACACACAUGUGUAUAUGGUUUUGGGAGUAGGGUAGACUCAAGACAAUUGUUUAGUGUAGCAUCUACAUGUCCUUCCACAUCUGAUUCAGCGUGUGGACCUUCAACUUAUCAAACUUUUGCAAUAUAUGAAUCUAUGUUGCAAACCCAGCAACUUGCGGAGAAAGUUCAGAAUUUAGAAAGUACAGUUCUUGAUAUUCAACAAGGUCAAGCAGGGUUACAAAGUAAAUUGGACAAAAUAUUGGAGUUGGUAGAACGCGGUCAUCCAACAUUAUUCUCAAGCAAGCCAAUCGGGAAUUAAUUCAAGAGAUGCCAGUACUGGAGAUGGUGGAGAAGAUGCAUAAGUAGAUUCAGAUGACCUUUACAAUGUUGUUGUUAACUUUUGUUUUGUUAGAGUACCUCUAAAACUAUUUUAAUAUUUUUUGUGAUUGCUUGCAACUUUAUAACUUCAUAUACCUUACAUGUGUUGUUGGAUUGUAGUAUGAAUUUAAGUUUUUUUUUGUUGUUG
Long non-coding RNA from Dioscorea cayenensis subsp. rotundata (Guinea yam), 770 nucleotides. RefSeq lists it as uncharacterized. Lineage: Eukaryota; Viridiplantae; Streptophyta; Magnoliopsida; Dioscoreales; Dioscoreaceae. The transcript is spliced from 3 exons. The record is from RefSeq and is a predicted model, not a curated record.